This 774-nucleotide ribosomal RNA is filed under the name uncultured Neocallimastigales. Its description in RNAcentral is "partial large subunit ribosomal RNA". It matches the Rfam family "Eukaryotic large subunit ribosomal RNA", at positions 24 to 616 of the family's 3401-position model. Lineage: Eukaryota; Fungi; Neocallimastigomycota; Neocallimastigomycetes; Neocallimastigales. The record is from RNAcentral.
UAUGUGAUCGUCUCUCGCAUAUCAAUAAGCGGAGGAAAAGAAACUAACAAGGAUUCCCCUAGUAACGGCGAGUGAAGCGGGAAGAGCUCAAAUUUGAAAUCUUAAAGGGUUUCCCUUUACGAAUUGUAGUUUAAAGAAGUGUUUUCUGUUGAGGUUUUGGUAAAAGUUCUUUGGAAUAGGACAUCAUAGAGGGUGAGAAUCCCGUAUUUGACCUUUACUUUCAACUUUGUGAUACACUUUCAAAGAGUCGGAUUGUUUGGGAAUGCAGUCCAAAAUGGGUGGUAAAUUUCAUCUAAAGCUAAAUAUUGGCGGGAGACCGAUAGCGAACAAGUACCGUGAGGGAAAGAUGAAAAGAACUUUGAAAAGAGAGUUAAACAGUACGUGAAAUUGUCAAAAGGGAAGCGUUUGACACCAGUGUUGUUUUUCUGAAAAUCAAUUAAAGAACUGUUUAUGCUAAGUUGUUUAGACUUUAUCAGCUAACUGUUUAGUUUUGAGCUUUUCUUUAAUGCACUUUUCAGUUAACAAGUCAACAUCAAUUUCUUUUGCUGUAAAAAAGCUUGAGGAAGGUGGCUUGAGAUUCGUCUUAAGUGUUUAUAGCCUCUUGCCUAUGCAGUCGGAGAGAUUGAGGUCUGCAGCGUAGAUCCUUCGGGGCUAAAUGCAUUUGUGCUAAGUUAUAACAUUUUAUAGACAACUUGUUGACUAUGAUUUGUCUUGUAGCUUACUCGCUUAUGUUAUUUUACCUACGCUUAGGAUGUUGAGCGCAUGUCUCUCUCU